This 425-nucleotide ribosomal RNA is filed under the name uncultured bacterium. RNAcentral describes it as "partial 16S ribosomal RNA". It matches the Rfam family "Bacterial small subunit ribosomal RNA", at positions 354 to 796 of the family's 1533-position model. The record is from RNAcentral.
GUGGGGAAUCUUGCGCAAUGGGCGAAAGCCUGACGCAGCCAUGCCGCGUGAAUGAUGAAGGUCUUAGGAUUGUAAAAUUCUUUCACCGGGGACGAUAAUGACGGUACCCGGAGAAGAAGCUCCGGCUAACUUCGUGCCAGCAGCCGCGGUAAUACGAAGGGGGCUAGCGUUGCUCGGAAUUACUGGGCGUAAAGGGCGCGUAGGCGGACAGCUUAGUCAGAGGUGAAAGCCCAGGGCUCAACCUUGGAAUUGCCUUUGAUACUGGCUGUCUUGAGUUUGGGAGAGGUGAGUGGAACUCCGAGUGUAGAGGUGAAAUUCGUAGAUAUUCGGAAGAACACCAGUAGCGAAGGCGACUCACUGGCCCAAUACUGACGCUGAGGCGCGAAAGCGUGGGGAGCAAACAGGAUUAGAUACCCGUGUAGUCC